Spodoptera frugiperda (fall armyworm) is the source of this 753-nucleotide long non-coding RNA. RefSeq lists it as uncharacterized. NCBI's taxonomy places the organism in Eukaryota, Metazoa, Arthropoda, Insecta, Lepidoptera, Noctuidae. The transcript has 6 exons. The record is from RefSeq and is a predicted model, not a curated record.
GCGCAAUGCGAAUGUCAAUGUCAUUCACACCAAUAGACUAUAUUGAAAGAGCAUCGUUUGUUCGAAACGUGAAUAGAAACUUAGGCUGCGCGACGUCGCCGCUUCUGCGUACGCUGAUCAUGAUCAAGAGUCCCUCUGUGACUCGAAACUAGUAGAGCUUUUCUCUAUUCAUUUACGUACACAUAUUUGCAAGAUUUAACAGACAAAUAUGCUGUAGCGGGAACAUUAAGAAAUAGGGCUCGGCAAGAAGAAGCACACGAGCAAUGGAGAACCAUAUAUAAUGUUAAUUAUCCUGCUUCGUAUAAAUUCCCGGAGCAUGACAUUGCUGUUCUGUUCGUAUUUCCUUACACUUUAAACGAUUUAGUGAAACCGAUCAAAAUAGCAAAGACAUAUGAAAAUUAUGAAGGUUACUGCUUGGUAUCAGGGUAUGGUGAAGUUUCCAAUCAGGUUACAUCCGACACCUUAAUGAAGGCAUACGUGUUAAUUCUUGCAAAUAAUAAAUGCCCUCGCGUCACUCAAUAUAGAGAUCUCGAAUAUAACAUAUGCACAUCAGCCAUUGGAACAGACAUCGGGAGGGGAGAUUCAGGAAGCCCUUUAGUCUGCACAAAGACAAACGCUGACUCGAGUAAAAGUAAUAUUUUGGUUGGUAUUGCAAGUGGCGCAUACCCUGGCCAAAAUGCUUUCUUCACGAGAGUGUCGGCGUAUACGGAUUAUAUUCAUGGAUGUGCGAAAAUUAACGAAAGUUCUUUUUUA